This is a non-coding RNA of Podarcis lilfordi (Lilford's wall lizard), 525 nucleotides long. NCBI's taxonomy places the organism in Eukaryota, Metazoa, Chordata, Lepidosauria, Squamata, Lacertidae. The record is from the annotation of a GenBank genome assembly.
GGUUCCAGCUGAGCUUGUGGAAAUAUCCUCAUACUGUUAGACAGACAAAAGCCUUCCAUCCAAACAAUCCAGUGGAAAUGUUUCUGUGGAUACAUUUCAUAUUUAGCUUCUUCAUUUUCAAAGGUACUUAAUCCCUUUGGUUGGAAUGCAGUUGGUGUGAUUUAUCAGGAAGCCCUUAUAAUCCAAAUAUGUAAAGUUUGUAACUCAAUCUGUCUCUCUUUCUAGGUGUCCAUGCAGAUUCUCUGGUGGAAUCUGGUGGGGAUGUGAAAAGACCUGGAGAGUCCCUUCGACUCACAUGUACAACAUCAGGAUUCAACAUAGACAGCUACUGGAUGCACUGGGUCCAUCAAGCUCCUGGAAAGGGACUCAAAUGGCUCUCAGCAAUUAAUCGGGCCAGCACAGCUUAUGCAGAUUCUGCUAAAGGACGGUUCACAACCUCCACAGACAGUUCCAAGAAGCUGAUCUUUCUACAUAUGACUGGUCUGAAAGCUGAAGAUACCGGCAUGUAUUAUUGUACCAGAGAUC